GAUGAAGGAAGGUUCGAUUUGCUUUAGAGAGUGCAUGAAAAGGAGUUGCUGAAGCAUUAGUAGAACCAUUCCCUAAUUUAUCUAGUGUUGUCUUGUGAACCAAUAUUUAUUUAUUUCUUUUUGUUGAGAACCAUUAGUUGCCUGUUAUCCGAGAGACCAUUUGUUAAGACUAUUUCAAAACCAUUAGUUAUGUGUUUAUGUGAUGUUCAUAUAUUUGUUUAUACACUGUCCAUCCAUUUGUUUAUGUGCUAUCCAUAUAUUUGUUUAUGUGCUUAUGUUAUCUGACAACUUGUGUCCUGGCUACCACAAACUUGUGUCUGUAGAUGGACGCCAACAUGAAAGAUUUGGCCAAAAAGGGGCACAAGGGACUACUGCUUCUAGCUGAACUUUUCCAGCAGGCUGGUGUCA
This 408-nucleotide long non-coding RNA is filed under the name Setaria viridis. RNAcentral describes it as "long non-coding RNA (SVIR_LNC001437)". The record is from RNAcentral. Lineage: Eukaryota; Viridiplantae; Streptophyta; Magnoliopsida; Poales; Poaceae.